RNAcentral lists this ribosomal RNA (453 nucleotides) under uncultured Caulobacteraceae bacterium. Its description in RNAcentral is "partial 16S ribosomal RNA". Lineage: Bacteria; Pseudomonadati; Pseudomonadota; Alphaproteobacteria; Caulobacterales; Caulobacteraceae. The record is from RNAcentral.
CACGAAGUUAGCCGGGGCUUUUUCUCCAGGUACCGUCAUUAUCGUCCCUGGUAAAAGAAUUUUACAAUCCUAAGACCUUCAUCAUUCACGCGGCAUGGCUGCGUCAGGCUUUCGCCCAUUGCGCAAGAUUCCCCACUGCUGCCUCCCGUAGGAGUCUGGGCCGUGUCUCAGUCCCAGUGUGGCUGAUCAUCCUCUCAGACCAGCUAUAGAUCGUAGCCUUGGUGAGCCUUUACCUCACCAACUAGCUAAUCUAACGCGGGCCGCUCUAAUGGCGAUAAAUCUUUCCCCCAAAGGGCUUAUCCGGUAUUAGCUCAAGUUUCCCUGAGUUGUUCCGAACCAAAAGGUACGUUCCCACGUGUUACUCACCCGUCCGCCACUAAGUCCGAAGACUUCGUUCGACUUGCAUGUGUUAGGCCUGCCGCCAGCGUUCGCUCUGAGCCAGGAUCAAACUCU